CUGAGGUACCCUGACCUUCAGACACAGAGGUCCUAUGGGAAUCUCAAGAGCUGCAAGGGUCGCCAUCCUUCCCCUGGGACCCUGCCACCUUGUCCUCCCUGAGACAGCCUCAGACCUUCUGUCCCAACCCCGACCCCGAGGGUACUGGGAGGGAAGGGCAGUGCUCAGCCCCCACCCACGCAGGUGCACGCCUGGCAGGCUCUUGGUGUCUUGCAGAGUGCCUGGAGACAUUUCCCUGGGCGAUGCUGGACCUGCAGGCAGACCUGGAGGACGACUCCCCGGGAGCCAGCCUGUGGCCCACCACUGUCACCCUGCUCACACUCUUCCUGCUCAGCCUCUUCUACAGCACGGCGCUGACCGUCACAAGCAUCCGGGACCCAUCUGGCAGCAAAGAGGGCCCCCAGUACUGAGCAGGAGCCAGCCAGGCACAGGGAGGAGCAUGGAGGAGUCCCCUGGAACCCAGCUGGACCCAGAGCUCAGCCCAGCUCAGAAGCCACCCACCUGUCCCCACACAGGCCAUGCUGGUGCAAUAAACUCAUCA
Molecule: long non-coding RNA, 541 nt
Organism: Rhinolophus ferrumequinum (greater horseshoe bat)
Lineage: Eukaryota; Metazoa; Chordata; Mammalia; Chiroptera; Rhinolophidae
Exons: 2
Source: RefSeq, a predicted model, not a curated record